AUGGCCGCCGCGGAAUCCCACGAUGUUGAGUUGCUAGACCUCGUGAGCUUCGGGCACACGCUCCGCCACCAUGGCCUCGUCAUCGCCGACGCCAAGGCGGACCACGACAUCCCCGUCGACGUGUUCAUGCUCCUCCUCGCCGACAACACUGUCGUGUACAAGAACUCCGGGGACCUCGAGGUGGUUGACAGGACCCACCUGCGCCCUGGACAGGUGGUCGGCUCGGCGUCCGACGAUGACGGCCGGCUCGGCGUCGUCACCAGCGUCACCACCGUGCUCGACCUGGCCAAGCAUGCCGUGGGGACACAUGUCAUCACGGGCGUGCCCCCGUCUACCCUCCGACACGUAAGGAGCUUCAACCUCGGCGACUUCAUCGUGUCCGGGCCGUGGCUUGGCCGGGUUGUCGAGGUGUCCAUCGACGUGGAUGUGUUGUUCGAUGACGGGGCGGUCUGCAGGGUCGCCAACGCAGAGUCCAAGAAGCUACAACUAGUGCAUGACACCUCAGCUGGCGGCAACAAAACACAACGAGUGUAUCGCGGUCAAAUGAACACUCUUUUCAACCCUGGGCAGCGCGUCCGUGCACCAGACCCGUCUUCCCUCUUCAAGGCAGCACGCUGGCUCAACGGCUCCUGGAACCCUGACCGUCAGAUGGGCACCGUCAGCAACUUAGAGAUGUCCGGCGUCAUUGUCUACUGGAUUGCAUCCAUGCACCAUGGCACGGACAAGGAGCUCGUCAAGGCAUCGGCCCCUUCGGCCUACCAGAACCCGGACGAUCUUACUUUCUUCUGUGCCGCGCACGACUGUAGCUGGGGGGUAGCUGACCGCUGCUUUUUCCGCAAAGACAAUGCGACUGAUGAUGAUGAAUGUGAAGCACCAACAGCUCAGGCCGAGGUGGAGUUUCCCAUGGUCGUUGUCAACACACAUACCUCCCUUGACGUGCUAUGGCAGGACGGCACACGACAACAAGGCAUAAGUUCAGCGACUGUCGCCCCCUUUCAAGUAGUGGAUGGAGAGUUAUUCCCGGGACAUCACGUCGUCGGUGUUCUUCAUGUUGAUGCUACCGGCGACCACGAUGACAAGACUACUACUAGUGUAAACAAUGACAUUGUUGCUGAUGGAACUCCAUUGUCACGGCCCGUGGGCGUCCUCAGGAGCCUACACUACGGAGACCGGACGGCUUGCGUGUCAUGGUUGAACGGGGCUGGUGAGGUUGAGUGUGACGAUGCCGUGACUGUAUACGCGCUGAAAAGAGACUCUUCUUACCUAUAUGCUUACUAUGGAGAUAUUGUCAUUCGCCUCCUACCGUCAGGAUCAGCCAACGGUGAAGAAACCAUAUCAUUGAUUCAUAGCAAGAAGACGAAGCGUGCUGCUGCAUCCGAUCUUUCAUGGGUGGGGCAUGUUGCUGAACUUCAUAAUGGACACGUCCAAGUCAAAUGGGGUGAUGGUAGCAUGUCAAUGGUAUUGCCCCAAGAGAUUCUUGUCGUCAAGGAGGAGCACUACAUGAAUCUGUUGAAUUUAAUGGAGAACUGGGUAGUGGUCGACGACAAACCAACCGCAGCCGCAGUUAACACGGACCAUGGUCUACAGAAUCCGGCUGACAAUAACGAUGUCGAAGGCGACAACCCGGCAAUGACGAGGACAAACCCUUUGGGCUUUGCAAGCCGGUCUUUGUUUCAAAGGACAGGCAACAUGGUGGCUCGGGUUAAGCAAUACGUGACAGGGAACUGGUGGCCGUUGUCGUCAUCACCAAGCUCAGGGUUACUUGUGCCCACAUAUGACGGCGAUGAUACAAUAGAGACAUCCGAUGCUACCAUGGCGAGGAACAUUCUGGAUGCGAGCGGGCACUAUUUUCCCAAGGGGACGAAAGCUGAUGACAAGCCCUUCGGAUCACCAUUACCUUGA
Molecule: ribosomal RNA, 1902 nt
Filed under: Triticum aestivum (bread wheat)
Lineage: Eukaryota; Viridiplantae; Streptophyta; Magnoliopsida; Poales; Poaceae
Description: partial small subunit ribosomal RNA
Source: RNAcentral